GACGAACGCUGGCGGCGUGCCUAACACAUGCAAGUCAACUUGAGGGAAGGAGCAAUCUGACCUGGUGGUGGCGCAAGGGUGCGUAACGCGUAAGUAACUUGCCCCAAGGUAAGGAAUAACGUCGAGAAAUCGGCGCUAAUACCUCAUAAUGCAGCGGAUCCGCAUGGAUAUGUUGUUAAAAGGUUUACCGCCUUGGGAUAGGCUUGCGUCUGAUUAGCUAGUUGGUGUGGUAAUGGCACACCAAGGCUACGAUCAGUAACUGGUCUGAGAGGAUGAUCGGCCACACUGGGACUGAGACACGGCCCAGACUCCUACGGGAGGUAGCAGUGGGGAAUUUUGGACAAUGGGGGCAACCCUGAUCCAGCCAUGCCGCGUGCGGGAAGAAGGCCUUCGG
RNAcentral lists this ribosomal RNA (394 nucleotides) under uncultured bacterium. Its description in RNAcentral is "bacterial SSU rRNA". It matches the Rfam family "Bacterial small subunit ribosomal RNA", at positions 28 to 421 of the family's 1533-position model. The record is from RNAcentral.